Long non-coding RNA from Hipposideros armiger (great roundleaf bat), 147 nucleotides. RefSeq lists it as uncharacterized. The record is from RefSeq and is a predicted model, not a curated record. NCBI's taxonomy places the organism in Eukaryota, Metazoa, Chordata, Mammalia, Chiroptera, Hipposideridae. The transcript is spliced from 2 exons.
CAGAGCAAUGACUUCCGGCGGAAGAAGACGCCGGGUCCGAGUUUUGGCCGACCGCUGGCAGGGAGUAGAUUCUGAUUGCCCUGUGAAGUUUGCUGAUGCAAGAAGGCCCACUUCUUGUUCAAUGGAUGAUGGCAUUUGAUCAGAUAC